GAUGAAGAACGCAGCAAAAUGCGAUAAGUAAUGUGAAUUGCAGAAUUCAGUGAAUCAUCGAAUCUUUGAACGCACAUUGCGCCCGCCAGUAUUCUGGCGGGCAUGCCUGUUCGAGCGUCAUUUCAACCCUCAAGCACAGCUUGGUGUUGGGACUCGCGUUAAUUCGCGUUCCCCAAAUUGAUUGGCGGUCACGUCGAGCUCCCAUAGCGUAGUAGUAAAACCCUCGUUACUGGUAAUCGUCGCGGCCACGCCGUUAAACCCCAACUUCUGAAUGUUGACCUCGGAUCAGGUAGGAAUACCCGCUGAACUUAAGCAUAUCAAUAAGCGGAGGA
RNAcentral lists this unclassified non-coding RNA (332 nucleotides) under soil metagenome. RNAcentral describes it as "partial contains 5.8S ribosomal RNA, internal transcribed spacer 2, and large subunit ribosomal RNA". The stretch from base 1 to 120 matches the Rfam family "5.8S ribosomal RNA", at positions 35 to 154 of the family's 154-position model. The record is from RNAcentral.